UCGGCGCCGUGAAGCCGAUGGCGCAGCGCUUCCCCCAUCCUCGCCCCCGCUUCCCGGAUUCUCCCGUUUGCACCGAGUCUUUGAUGCGAUGAUGCCUACCUGCUGCAUCUUUGCAGAAUUUUCUGUCUUUAUUUAAGACUCCCAGCAGCCACAUGAUUUUGACAGUGAAUUAUUGCAGGUAUUUCUCACAAAACCAAGGCCAGAAACACAAACUGACAAAUGAGGCGUCCUUUUGCAUCAGGGUGGAUGUUGGAUAUGGAAGUCGGUCUCUCGCUUUCUGUGAAGGGUUCCAGCCGGAGUGGGAUUAUUACAGAGCGGAAUAAGGACAGUCUGAGGACUCGAUCCGCUCCCUCUUUACAGCGAAGGGUGUUCGGUUCAGAGUGAAGCCUGAACGGAAUGUUUCCCUCCUGGGAAAGCGGGGAACAGGGAUUGAUUCCCGCCCGGGACAGUUAGAAAGCGACAGGAGAAUGAACCACAUUUAAACAAAAUGUUAAAACCCGCGCCUGCGAUUGGUGACGGCACGAGCUGAAUAAAACCAAAUAAAGAGAAGGGAUUUGAAAUCUCAGACCAAGGACGACAUUUACUUUAAUCCGCUUCUUUCCCGCAGUGAAAUUGGCGGGCUUUUUAAAAUGGACAAUGCUACUGGUUCUGACGGUUAUGGCAAAUCCCGCCCUCUUCUGUUUCCGUUUGUCUGAUUGGUGAAGAAUAUAGGCAAAUAAGGUGGAUUGAACAGAGACCAAUCAGACGAGUUUUCAGUUUAUGAGAACAGUAAAUGUUGGAGAAAUUGUUCAUUUUUUGGGAAAGUGUUUGUGAGAUUGUGGAAUGACAGGAAGAGGAAAGACCGGCGGGAAAGAUUUCCUGUUUGUGUCCCGUGCGUUCGCAGUCAGAUCCACCGACGUCAAG
This is a long non-coding RNA of Carcharodon carcharias (great white shark), 903 nucleotides long. RefSeq lists it as uncharacterized. The transcript has 3 exons. NCBI's taxonomy places the organism in Eukaryota, Metazoa, Chordata, Chondrichthyes, Lamniformes, Lamnidae. The record is from RefSeq and is a predicted model, not a curated record.